AAACCAACAGGGAUUGCCCCAGUAACGGCGAGUGAAGCGGCAACAGCUCAAAUUUGAAAUCUGGCCCCCCUCCGCGGGGACCCGAGUUGUAAUUUGCAGAGGAUGCUUCUGGCGCGGCGCCUUCCGAGUUCCCUGGAACGGGACGCCAUAGAGGGUGAGAGCCCCGUCUGGUUGGACGCCUAGCCUCUGUGAAGCACCUUCGACGAGUCGAGUAGUUUGGGAAUGCUGCUCAAAAUGGGAGGUAUAUGUCUUCUAAAGCUAAAUACCGGCCAGAGACCGAUAGCGCACAAGUAGAGUGAUCGAAAGAUGAAAAGCACUUUGAAAAGAGGGUUAAACAGUACGUGAAAUUGUUGAAAGGGAAGCGCUCAUGACCAGACUUGGGCCCCGCGCAUCACCCGGCGUUCUCGCCGGGGCACUUCGCAGGGCCCAGGCCAGCAUCAGUUCGCGGCGGGGGACAAAGGCUUCGGGAACGUAGCUCCCUCGGGAGUGUUACAGCCCGCUGCGCAAUGCCCUGCCGCGGACUGAGGUUCGCGCUUCCGCAAGGAUGCUGGCGUAAUGGUCAUCAGCGAC
Molecule: ribosomal RNA, 570 nt
Filed under: Perennicordyceps prolifica
Lineage: Eukaryota; Fungi; Ascomycota; Sordariomycetes; Hypocreales; Polycephalomycetaceae
Description: eukaryotic LSU rRNA
Rfam family: Eukaryotic large subunit ribosomal RNA
Source: RNAcentral